AUACGGAGGAUGCGAGCGUUAUCCGGAUUUAUUGGGUUUAAAGGGUGCGUAGGCGGUUUUUUAAGUCAGCGGUGAAACGCAAGGGCUCAACCCUUGACCUGCCGUUGAAACUGGAGGACUUGAAUGCGGAUGCUGUGGGAGGAAUGUGUGGUGUAGCGGUGAAAUGCAUAGAUAUCACACAGAACACCGAUUGCGAAGGCAUCUCACAAAUCCGUGAUUGACGCUGAGGCACGAAAGUGUGGGGAUCAAACAGGAUUAGAUACCCUGGUAGUCCACACUGUAAACGAUGAUGACUCGCUGUCGGCGAUAUACAGUCGGUGGCCAAGCGAAAGCGAUAAGUCAUCCACCUGGGGAGUACGACCACAAGGUUGAAACUUAAAGGAAUUGACGGGG
This 393-nucleotide ribosomal RNA is filed under the name uncultured bacterium. RNAcentral describes it as "partial 16S ribosomal RNA". It matches the Rfam family "Bacterial small subunit ribosomal RNA", at positions 523 to 918 of the family's 1533-position model. The record is from RNAcentral.